Molecule: small RNA, 28 nt
Filed under: Bombyx mori (domestic silkworm)
Lineage: Eukaryota; Metazoa; Arthropoda; Insecta; Lepidoptera; Bombycidae
Description: piRNA piR-bmo-1337854
Source: RNAcentral
UCCUAUCCUUUUCAAACUGCCAUUUACA